AGCAGCCGCGGUAAUUCCAGCUCCAAUAGCGUAUAUUAAAGUUGCUGCAGUUAAAAGCUCGUAGUUGAAUUUCGGGAUCAAUACGUCGGUCGUGCUUCGGUACGUACUGGCGUAAUUGAUUUCUCCCUUCUGACGAACCAUGAUGUCAUUAACUUGGUGUCAUGGGAAAUCAGGACUGUUACUUUGAAAAAUUGAGUGUUUAAAGCAGGCUCACGCUUGAAUACAUUAGCAUGGAAUAAUGAAAUAGGACGUUCGAUCCUAUUUGUUGGUUUU
RNAcentral lists this unclassified non-coding RNA (273 nucleotides) under uncultured Diversispora. Its description in RNAcentral is "sequence contains 18S rRNA gene". It matches the Rfam family "Eukaryotic small subunit ribosomal RNA", at positions 569 to 851 of the family's 1831-position model. The record is from RNAcentral. Lineage: Eukaryota; Fungi; Glomeromycota; Glomeromycetes; Diversisporales; Diversisporaceae.